This 498-nucleotide ribosomal RNA is filed under the name uncultured bacterium. RNAcentral describes it as "partial 16S ribosomal RNA". It matches the Rfam family "Bacterial small subunit ribosomal RNA", at positions 355 to 863 of the family's 1533-position model. The record is from RNAcentral.
UGGGGAAUAUUGCACAAUGGGCGCAAGCCUGAUGCAGCAACGCCGCGUGAGGGAUGACGGCCUUCGGGUUGUAAACCUCUUUUAGCAGGGAAGAAGCGAAAGUGACGGUACCUGCAGAAAAAGCACCGGCUAACUACGUGCCAGCAGCCGCGGUAAUACGUAGGGUGCAAGCGUUGUCCGGAAUUAUUGGGCGUAAAGAGCUCGUAGGCGGUCUGUCGCGUCUGCUGUGAAAUCCCGAGGCUCAACCUCGGGUCUGCAGUGGGUACGGGCAGACUAGAGUGCGGUAGGGGAGAAUGGAACUCCUGGUGUAGCGGUGGAAUGCGCAGAUAUCAGGAAGAACACCGAUGGCGAAGGCAGUUCUCUGGGCCGUAACUGACGCUGAGGAGCGAAAGCGUGGGGAGCGAACAGGAUUAGAUACCCUGGUAGUCCACGCCGUAAACGUUGGGCGCUAGAUGUGGGGACCAUUCCACGGUUUCCGUGUCGCAGCUAACGCAUUAA